AAAAGGGGAGCUGACGCGUCGGCUGAGAAGAAAUACGAACGGAUUUCGACCCUAUGAACCUGAUACGGAUAAUGCCGGCGUAGGAAGCAUAUUUU
Molecule: non-coding RNA, 95 nt
Filed under: Blautia stercoris
Lineage: Bacteria; Bacillati; Bacillota; Clostridia; Lachnospirales; Lachnospiraceae
Description: TPP riboswitch (THI element)
Rfam family: TPP riboswitch aptamer (THI element) (bases 4-86)
About the family: Vitamin B(1) in its active form thiamin pyrophosphate (TPP) is an essential coenzyme that is synthesised by coupling of pyrimidine and thiazole moieties in bacteria.
Source: RNAcentral